UACAGAGGUCCCAAGCGUUGUUCGGAUUCACUGGGCGUAAAGGGUGCGUAGGUGGUGGGGUAAGUCCGAUGUGAAAGCUCCGAGCUCAACUCGGAAAUGGCAUUAGAAACUACCUCGCUAGAGGAUUGGAGGGGGGACUGGAAUUCUCGGUGUAGCAGUGAAAUGCGUAGAUAUCGAGAGGAACACCAGUGGCGAAGGCGAGUCCCUGGACAAUACCUGACACUGAGGCACGAAAGCUAGGGGAGCAAACAGG
Molecule: ribosomal RNA, 253 nt
Filed under: uncultured bacterium
Lineage: Bacteria
Description: partial 16S ribosomal RNA
Rfam family: Bacterial small subunit ribosomal RNA
Source: RNAcentral